GACUUCGUGGCCAAGUUGGUUAAGGCGUACGACUGUUAGUCCAUCGUAAGAUCGAGAGUUCGACCCUCUCCGAGGUCG
Yarrowia sp. E02 is the source of this 78-nucleotide non-coding RNA. NCBI's taxonomy places the organism in Eukaryota, Fungi, Ascomycota, Dipodascomycetes, Dipodascales. The record is from the annotation of a GenBank genome assembly.